RNAcentral lists this ribosomal RNA (850 nucleotides) under Arthrobacter koreensis. RNAcentral's name for it is "bacterial SSU rRNA". It matches the Rfam family "Bacterial small subunit ribosomal RNA", at positions 64 to 921 of the family's 1533-position model. The record is from RNAcentral. Lineage: Bacteria; Bacillati; Actinomycetota; Actinomycetes; Micrococcales; Micrococcaceae.
GAACGAUGACUUCUGUGCUUGCACAGAAUGAUUAGUGGCGAACGGGUGAGUAACACGUGAGUAACCUGCCCUUAACUUCGGGAUAAGCCUGGGAAACCGGGUCUAAUACCGGAUACGACCUCCUGGCGCAUGCCAUGGWGGUGGAAAGCUUUAGCGGUUUUGGAUGGACUCGCGGCCUAUCAGCUUGUUGGUUGGGGUAAUGGCCCACCAAGGCGACGACGGGUAGCCGGCCUGAGAGGGUGACCGGCCACACUGGGACUGAGACACGGCCCAGACUCCUACGGGAGGCAGCAGUGGGGAAUAUUGCACAAUGGGCGAAAGCCUGAUGCAGCGACGCCGCGUGAGGGAUGACGGCCUUCGGGUUGUAAACCUCUUUCAGCAGGGAAGAAGCGAAAGUGACGGUACCUGCAGAAGAAGCGCCGGCUAACUACGUGCCAGCAGCCGCGGUAAUACGUAGGGCGCAAGCGUUAUCCGGAAUUAUUGGGCGUAAAGAGCUCGUAGGCGGUUUGUCGCGUCUGCUGUGAAAGCCCGGGGCUCAACCCCGGGUCUGCAGUGGGUACGGGCAGACUAGAGUGCAGUAGGGGAGACUGGAAUUCCUGGUGUAGCGGUGAAAUGCGCAGAUAUCAGGAGGAACACCGAUGGCGAAGGCAGGUCUCUGGGCUGUAACUGACGCUGAGGAGCGAAAGCAUGGGGAGCGAACAGGAUUAGAUACCCUGGUAGUCCAUGCCGUAAACGUUGGGCACUAGGUGUGGGGGACAUUCCACGUUUUCCGCGCCGUAGCUAACGCAUUAAGUGCCCCGCCNGGGGAGUACGGCCGCANGGCUAAAACUCAAAGGAAUUGACGGGGGCC